UUUGAAUUGUCACUUCAUGUAGAGCCAACGGAAGCGGUAGUAUUUUGAAUUUUUCUUUGCACUUUCAUGAUUUUAGGCAGUUAUAAACAUACUCCUUGGAAGUAUUUUAGCCGUACUUUAUUCUCUAUCAAGUGGAUACUCAAGUCUCGGUAACUACUGUAAGUGAAAACUCAAUCCAGUAAACUCAAUCAUAUUGUAGUAGGAAAGCAUUAAUGUUGUUUGAAGACGUAUCUGUGAAGGAACAGAAAAUUACAAGACUUACUAAAGCAAAAUUGAAACUCCGAAAAAUGUCAGUACAAGUUACUCAGUGAUUCAAUAUUUUAAACUAGACUUGUUCAACGGCAUAAUUCAUACUAAUUUAGCUUGGUACCAUCGGACAAGAAAAUGCAUGGUUUUGGACAGUUGCUGCUGCAAUAUCACAAAGAAUGCUGGUUUAUGCACACCUGUAACACAAAUGAUUCUUGAAUAUUGUUUUAUAUAA
Anneissia japonica is the source of this 481-nucleotide long non-coding RNA. RefSeq lists it as uncharacterized. The record is from RefSeq and is a predicted model, not a curated record. NCBI's taxonomy places the organism in Eukaryota, Metazoa, Echinodermata, Crinoidea, Comatulida, Comatulidae. The transcript has 3 exons.